AACGCACAUUGCGCCCACUGGUAUUCCGGUGGGCAUGCCUGUUCGAGCGUCAUUAUCCUCCCUCAAACCCUCGUGUUUGGUGUUGGGCCGCGUUGGUGCAAGCCAACUGGUCUCAAAGACAAUGACGGCGUCCGUGGGACCCUCUUCGCAACGAGCAUCUUCGGAAGCACGCGUCGAGUCUAAAGGACCUUCCGGGCCGGUCUACCCUUUAUCUUUCUAAGGUUGACCUCGGAUCAGGUAGGAAUACCCGCUGAACUUAA
This 260-nucleotide unclassified non-coding RNA is filed under the name Eudimeriolum sp. RNAcentral describes it as "partial contains 5.8S ribosomal RNA, internal transcribed spacer 2, and large subunit ribosomal RNA". The stretch from base 1 to 52 matches the Rfam family "5.8S ribosomal RNA", at positions 103 to 154 of the family's 154-position model. Lineage: Eukaryota; Fungi; Ascomycota; Dothideomycetes; Pseudoperisporiaceae. RNAcentral also lists the same sequence under 1 other name. The record is from RNAcentral.